This 465-nucleotide ribosomal RNA is filed under the name uncultured bacterium. RNAcentral describes it as "partial 16S ribosomal RNA". It matches the Rfam family "Bacterial small subunit ribosomal RNA", at positions 28 to 507 of the family's 1533-position model. The record is from RNAcentral.
GACGAACGCUGGCGGCGUGCUUAACACAUGCAAGUCGAGCGGAAAGGCCCCCUUGUGGGGUACUCGAGUGGCGAACGGGUGAGUAACACGUGAGUAACCUACCCUUGACUUUGGGAUAACUUCAGGAAACUGGGGCUAAUACCGGAUAGGAGCUCCUGCUGCAUGGUGGGGGUUGGAAAGUUUCGGCGGUUGGGGAUGGACUCGCGGCUUAUCAGCUUGUUGGUGGGGUAGUGGCUCACCAAGGCUUUGACGGGUAGCCGGCCUGAGAGGGUGACCGGCCACAUUGGGACUGAGAUACGGCCCAGACUCCUACGGGAGGCAGCAGUGGGGAAUAUUGCACAAUGGGCGGAAGCCUGAUGCAGCAACGCCGCGUGCGGGAUGACGGCCUUCGGGUUGUAAACCGCUUUCGCCUGUGACGAAGCGUGAGUGACGGUAAUGGGUAAAGAAGCACCGGCUAACUACGUG